RNAcentral lists this long non-coding RNA (386 nucleotides) under Chinchilla lanigera (long-tailed chinchilla). Its description in RNAcentral is "Myocardial infarction associated transcript exon 5 conserved region 3 (ENSCLAG00000019831.1)". It matches the Rfam family "Myocardial infarction associated transcript exon 5 conserved region 3". From Rfam's summary of the family: MIAT (myocardial infarction associated transcript), also known as RNCR2 (retinal non-coding RNA 2) or Gomafu, is a noncoding RNA. Single nucleotide polymorphisms (SNPs) in MIAT are associated with a risk of myocardial infarction. The record is from RNAcentral. Lineage: Eukaryota; Metazoa; Chordata; Mammalia; Rodentia; Chinchillidae.
CAGAGCCCGCCAGCCGCUAAGCCAGGGCCACACCUGGGGGUGAUUUCAUGCCUCACCCUCAGUAGGCACCUUGGCCUCUCUGGGCUAAUCUCUGGCUCCCUCGCACUAACUCUUGCUGUCACCCAGCUAACCCCUGCCUCGCCCUGGCUGCCCCAGGGGCUGUCCACUAACAGCCAGCCCCACCCAUCCGGGGGCUUCGGGCUCCCCGCCUGGCUUUGGCCGGCUCUUAAUCCACCUCUCCUUCCCCUUGACUAACUCACUCCUGCCUUCCUGGUCUGUUCCUUUCAGCAGAAACUAAUGGCUUGUGGAUUUCUUUCUGACUAACAACAGGUGUGACAGUCCUCGUUACCGUUACUGUUAACAGCUUGGAUGGCAGCAUGGCUGGG